Molecule: long non-coding RNA, 1446 nt
Organism: Mus musculus (house mouse)
Lineage: Eukaryota; Metazoa; Chordata; Mammalia; Rodentia; Muridae
Product: predicted gene, 34688
Exons: 3
Source: RefSeq, a predicted model, not a curated record
AGGUUUAGCUAAUCUCAGUAGGAGCAGCCUCUGUGGGAGAGCUGUGAUCACACAGCAAAUAUUUGGAGGAAGAGGGCAAUGAUUGACAUUUUCUUCACGUGCUGUCAACAUUCCUGUUCAGAUUUGAGGACAUCUCUGCCAUCCCUCGGAGCCUCAUCCUGUCAGACAGGGAAAGAUCUCCACCACAGUUUACCCACCAAGCUCACCUUCUGAUCCUUUUAUCGUCAUCGGGCCUUUCUUACAUGUCACAGACAGAAGAGUACGACCUUUGUACUCUGUUUCUACUGAAAGUGCACUCUGACUUAUUGCAGUCUGAUUAUACUCUCAUGUAGUGAGUGUUUCCACAAACUGUGUCCCAGUUUGAGGCUAAAACAUGGAAAAACUCAAGUCUUAAGAUUCCUGAAGAUAACGGAAUAGCAAGAUUGGUGGCUACUUCAUUCCUCAUUUCACAUGGAUGGACCCAGAAUGGCUCUCCAAAAAACACCGAGUUUUAGUUAAGCUGUUUCCUGGCUGCCUGUGUUCUCUUCCUCGAACCCUUUAUUGCUGCCUUUUUACAAAACCAGACCUUUUUCAAGGUAAGAUAAAAAUCUGAAAGGGGGGGGGGUGGACUGGUCAUUUUGAAAAGCCAAAUUGUUGCUGUCUGAUUAGUGCUUUACAGAAGUAUCUCAAAUUUUCCUCAUGUGAGUGAGUCAUCUUAGUGUAUUUCAUUAUUUCCUAAGUGUUAUCUCUGCCCCAUUGUCUUUUACCAUGUUUUUGUGCUUUUAGCUUUAACAUUGAGUGAAACAGUCUAGGGGCAUAGGUUAAAUGAUUCACUACACAGGUAAGCAGAUAACCGAAAAGUAAGAGCAGAGAUGCCAAGCUUCUGCCUGCCUUGUUAGUAGCACUGUGAGCAAAACAAGAAAACUGUUGUUAGCAGAAGCACUAAAGAGCUGCUGCUGGAGGACUUGAGUGUUAGCAAAUGGUCAAUUUAAAUUUUGUUAAGACAACAGAAAUGUCUGCAGCACGUUUUGCCUGUAACUGUUACUUAAACUAUUCUUCAUGCACAGUGUCUCAGAGGAUUUUCUGGAGUUUUCAUUCAGGACAGAGAUAUUUUCUGAAGAAGGAACAUUUUCUAAAAAUUUACAAAGGGGGAAAAGGAACUAUGAGCUUUACUGAAAAUCUGGUGCUCCGUCCCAAGACCACAGCCCCAAGUAUAACAGACGCAAAAAUGUAUCCACAAAAGAAGAGAAAGAUAAAAGAAAAAAGCCACUACUCCCUGGCAAUCAUAUUUUAUCUCAAUGCUAAGUAUAUAUGUUUCAUUUUGGGUAAAAUCCUUCACUCACCAAAUAUCUACCAUCAUAGCAGUAGGAAAAAAUUCUAUUUAUAUACAAUUAUUCUGGGCUGAUGAGAUGACUCAGCAGGUCAAGGGCUUGCUACACAAGCCUAUGAACCUGAAUUCAAUCCCCU